CGUGUAGGCGGCGCCUUAAGUCAGGUGUGAAAGCCCGGGGCUCAACCCCGGACGUACCGCCUGAAACUGGGGUGCUUGAGGACGGAAGAGGGGAGUGGAAUUCCUGGUGUAGCGGUGAAAUGCGUAGAUAUCAGGAGGAACACCCGUGGCGAAGGCGGCUCCCUGGUCCGUUUCUGACGCUGAGACGCGAAAGCGCGGGGAGCGAACG
Molecule: ribosomal RNA, 208 nt
Filed under: uncultured bacterium
Lineage: Bacteria
Description: partial 16S ribosomal RNA
Rfam family: Bacterial small subunit ribosomal RNA
Source: RNAcentral